Molecule: non-coding RNA, 2283 nt
Organism: Aegilops tauschii subsp. strangulata
Lineage: Eukaryota; Viridiplantae; Streptophyta; Magnoliopsida; Poales; Poaceae
Source: RefSeq, a predicted model, not a curated record
CAAUCUGUGCAGAAAGACCCCUCGUUUAUGUAUAAUUUUCCCCGCGACGUCCUCCUCUUUCCAACGAGAGUCCCCGCCCAUCUCUCUAUCGCUUUGCCUGACGGGGCGGCGGCAAUCCAGAUCCGGCGCAGAGCUUGAGGGCUAUGCCGACGGCAGGUGCUUGACUACAUCUUGCCGGAGACCAUCGACGUGCACCACGUCGCCGCCUUCUACGAGGAUGUACUCCGCUCCGCGCGCGUCCCUUCUCCCUAUGGUUUCCAGGUCGUCUGUCUCCUCCUCACGGGCACCCCCGCCGCCAUGGGCUACUGCACCCAGGGGGUGCGGGUGCCCCGCCCACGUAGCUGCCCAGGAUGCACCACACGGCCUUCUUGAAGCCCGCUUCUGUCACAUCUGCAACAAGGAGGAGCCCACCCUGCCAGCAGCCAAGCUGCAAGGGAAGAUGCUAAUAUGAACCUGAAGUCAAAGCUGAUGCCAUUUAUUAGCUUGGAGAUCGUUAAUCUCUCAAUGCUUUGGUUACAUUGAUUAGGAAACGUGUUAAUGAUAGUGAAGUUGCAGAGACUGUGGUGACAUUGCAUUCCACAUUUGGAGGUGCUGUGUAGUAGGCAGCAAAAUGGGUUGCACUGGACUGUUGCAUGUGAUUAGUUCAUUUUAGGAGUUCAGAACAGGUGGUUAACAAAGGAAUGAUGGACUGGAACUGUUACUUUGUUUACUUGUAGUUUUCUGUGUCUAUGCUAUUGUCCGACUGAGGAUUUCGUCUUUGAUUGGCAUCGUAGUUCAGCGAUGUUCAAAUUUCUUCAUAAUACUUUUUGUACAUCCCUCGUUUGAUGUUGUUUGCUAAAAUCCGUUUGUAGCCAUGGUGUCGGUCAAAUGGUGUUCAAAAUAUAAAUGUCGGAGCUGCUACCUCAUUUGCAGCGAUUAAUUUCCCAGUGCUUCUCAUUGAUGAUUUCAGUACACCGGAAAAGAACCAAUCAUUCUCUAACGAGGUACCCACACAGCUGAAUUUUAAUCUAACAUAAUUUCUUAUAUCUGUCCAUGUUUAAGUCCCUGAAUUUAUUCAUGUCUGAUAGGACAUUAUACACACUUAUCACAUGUGUCACUUGCCUUUAAAUCAAAACUCUGUUGCAGUUUUCUUAUUCUAUAUGAGCAUUCAUGAAUCAUGCUUUUCUGAUUGCUUGGGAGACAACUGAACUUUGAUAUUUAAACAAUCAGAAGUUGUAACUUGCAACACCAUAAAAUUGCACUUUCACUUUUCCAAUUAUACAAGAGAUUCGUCCUUGCUGUGAAUAUAUUUUGCCAGAUGGUACUCCUUUUUCUUUUCUCUAGCCUGACAUACGUCUUUGUGCUGCAGCAUUUUAACAGGGUUUCUAUCAUUUGUGGUGAGUUGUUCCUUUUCAUCAUGUACGAGUUUAGAAAAGCAAACGAACUUCAGUUCCAUUCUUAAUUGUUGAACACCUACGCGAUUAGGACACGAGCUAUUAUUCAAGUCUAGAAAUUUGUAGUAUAAAUACGAAGUAAGCACUAUGCCACUACUGCAAGCAAUUCUUUUGGGUCUGUACACAACCAAUGUUGGUAUUUCACUUGCAAGGGUGCAGUACUUUGUUCACUGUUUCGGUUCUGGCAAUUUUACUUAACUUUCAUGCUAGUUACCUAAAUAUGAUAUUCCAGUGCUUAAAAUACAAAAGCUAUGCUUUUACAACAUGUUGUAUUUUAUCACUUACAACUGUUUAGUCCACCAAAGAGCAUCAUUUCUAAUUUCUUGCCAUGUGAUGUAAACCACAGAAAUGUGUUUGCAGAUUGAUGAGACGAAGAAUCAGGAGUACAAAUGGAGAGAAGAAGCAUUUAGGAAAGGCUUCCCUUGCUUACCAACCACGUGAGCGAAACUAAUUUGUCUGAUAAUUUUAAUUUAUUUAGUAAGCCUAUGCAUACAGCCGCACAGACUCGUGCUGCUGAAUCAUACUUGUUUGGUGUGAUCUCUCCCUUCAGAUGAAACAAGAUGAGCAAGAAGAACUUGAGCUAGAGGCAAAGGUCAACUGACGUGUUCUCUAUGUACCAUGAAGAUAGUAAACUGAUGCAAUUUUAGUUGCAAUGGUUCUCGGUCAUGUACUAAAAUGGCCAUCUCAUGUUAUGUUACAUUUGAUAUGCAUGCAAGUGGAUCAGAAGGACCCAGAAAAUGGAUACCUUGCUGAAAUCCAUUUUCACCAUUAUAUUCAGAUGUGGGUGUGUAUUGCCAGAUAAAGUUAAUGUUGGCUUUAAUUUAAUAUGCAUAAUUUUUACGAAGGAAAA